RNAcentral lists this ribosomal RNA (429 nucleotides) under Gemmatimonadota bacterium. RNAcentral describes it as "Gemmatimonadetes bacterium partial 16S ribosomal RNA". It matches the Rfam family "Bacterial small subunit ribosomal RNA", at positions 355 to 776 of the family's 1533-position model. Lineage: Bacteria; Pseudomonadati; Gemmatimonadota. The record is from RNAcentral.
UAGGGAAUCUUUGGCAAUGGACGAAAGUCUGACCGAGCAACGCCGCGGGAGUGAAGAAGGUUUUCGGAUCGUAAAACUCUGUUUUUAGAGAAGAACAAGGACGUUAGUAACUGAACGUCCCCUGACGGUAUCUAACCAGAAAGCCACGGCUAACUACGUGCCAGCAGCCGCGGUAAUACGUAGGUGGCAAGCGUUGUCCGGAUUUAUUGGGCGUAAAGCGAGCGCAGGCGGUUUCUUAAGUCUGAUGUGAAAGCCCCCGGAUCAACCGGGGAGGGUUAUUGGAAACUGGGAGACUUGGGUGCAGAAGAGGAGAGUGGAAGUGCAUGUAUAGCGGUGAAAUGCGUAGAUAUAUGGAGGAACACCAGUGGCGAAGGCGGCUCUGUGGUCUGUAUCAGACGCUGGGGCUAGAAAGCGUGGGGCGCAAACAGG